RNAcentral lists this transfer RNA (72 nucleotides) under Camelus bactrianus (Bactrian camel). It matches the Rfam family "tRNA". From Rfam's summary of the family: Transfer RNA (tRNA) molecules are approximately 80 nucleotides in length. Their secondary structure includes four short double-helical elements and three loops (D, anti-codon, and T loops). Further hydrogen bonds mediate the characteristic L-shaped molecular structure. tRNAs have two regions of fundamental functional importance: the anti-codon, which is responsible for specific mRNA codon recognition, and the 3' end, to which the tRNAs corresponding amino acid is attached (by aminoacyl-tRNA synthetases). tRNAs cope with the degeneracy of the genetic code in two manners: having more than one tRNA (with a specific anti-codon) for a particular amino acid; and 'wobble' base-pairing, i.e. permitting non-standard base-pairing at the 3rd anti-codon position. Lineage: Eukaryota; Metazoa; Chordata; Mammalia; Artiodactyla; Camelidae. RNAcentral also lists the same sequence under 1 other name. The record is from Rfam by way of RNAcentral.
GAGGGUGUAUCUCAAGUGGUAGAGCAUGUGCUUAGCAUGCACAAGGUCCUGGGUUCAAUCCCAGUACCUCCA